This 253-nucleotide ribosomal RNA is filed under the name uncultured bacterium. Its description in RNAcentral is "partial 16S ribosomal RNA". It matches the Rfam family "Bacterial small subunit ribosomal RNA", at positions 524 to 776 of the family's 1533-position model. The record is from RNAcentral.
UACAGAGGUCUCAAGCGUUGUUCGGAUUCAUUGGGCGUAAAGGGUGUGUAGGUGGCGCCGUAAGUCGGGUGUGAAAUUUCGGAGCUUAACUCCGAAACUGCAUUCGAUACUGCGGUGCUUGAGGACUGGAGAGGAGACUGGAAUUCAUGGUGUAGCAGUGAAAUGCGUAGAGAUCGUAAGGAAGACCAGUGGCGAAGGCGGGUCUCUGGACAGUUCCUGACGCUGAGGCACGAAGGUCAGGGGAGCAAACGGG